GACGAACGCUGGCGGCGUGCUUAACACAUGCAAGUCGAACGGGCCUGUCUUCUUUUUUGGGGGUGGGUUGAGUGGCGAACGGGUGAGUAUCACGUGAGUAACCUGCCCUUCGGUCCUGGAUAACCGCUUGAAAGGGCGGCUAAUACGGGGUGGUCCGGUUGGUCCGCAUGGGCUGGUCGGGAUAGAUUCACUGUUUUUGGUGUUUCGGCGGGGGAUGGGCUCGCGGCCUAUCAGCUUGUUGGUGGGGUGAUGGCCUACCAAGGCGGUGACGGGUAGGCGGGCGAAGAGGGGGCGGCGUCACAGUGAGACUGGGAUACGGCCCAGACUCCUGCGGGAGGGAGCAGUGGGGGGUAUAGCACUGGGGGCGGAAGCCUGAUGCAGCGACGUCGCGUGAGGGAUGGGGGCCUUCGGGUUGUGGGCCUCUGUUUAGGGUGGGGAAGGCCCUGGCCAUGUGGUGGGGUUGACGGUAGCCGGGGAUGAAGCGCCGGCUAACUACGUG
Molecule: ribosomal RNA, 499 nt
Filed under: uncultured bacterium
Lineage: Bacteria
Description: partial 16S ribosomal RNA
Rfam family: Bacterial small subunit ribosomal RNA
Source: RNAcentral